UGGGACAGAAAAGUUGAAGCCUUUGCCAGCUCCACCUAGUUUAGAAACUCAUCGUUUUACUUGAGACUCGCGAAAUUGGGGGAGUUUUUGUGUCUGUUUGAUAGUUGCAAGUACGACCAUCUUGAUAUAUGGGGGAUGAAGGAGUAUGGAAUUUCUGAAUCUUGGGUUUAAAGAUCGCAUUUCGAUGAGCAGUAUUCGUCCUGGUAUCAUUCACCAGAUAUGUAUACCAACCAUAAUUUGGAAAGAUGGAGAAAUCUUGUUUCAAAAUGGCUUUGGCACAGGAGAGUUCAUUUCUUACAACCCAAAAGAGAAGUUCUUUAGGAAGGUCUAUGUUUACUGUGAUAAUGCUGCAGGUAGCAACUGGCACACCCGUUCUUUCCUUUUAAGUUUACACUCUUGGAGUUGAUCAGAAAUGGAGAAUUCUAGGUGAAGUUCCGUUUUCUCGACGGGGAACAUUUGGCAAUGUCACUGUUAAUGGUGCUCUUCAUUGGAUUAAUGAUGUAGAUCCUUAUGCUAUGCCCACCAUUUACUUAUUCGGUAUUGGGACAGAAAAAGUGAAGCCUUUGCCAGCUCCACCAGGUUUAGAAACUCCAUCCAUCUGCCGGAGACUCGCGAAGUUGGGGGAUUUUUUGUGUCUUUCUGAUGAUCACGAAAGCGAACAUCUUGAUAUAUGGUCGAUGAAGGAGUAUGGAGUUUCCGAAUCUUGGGUCAAAGAUCGCAUUUCGAUGAGCAGUAUUCAUCCUGAUAUCACUUAUCAGAGAUGGACGCCAAUGAUAAUUUGGAAAGAUGGAGAAAUCUUGUUGCAUAAUGGCUAUGACACAGGAGCUCUCAUCUCUUACAACCCAAAAGAGAAGUGUUUUAGGAAGAUCGAUGUUUACGGUGGUGAACCUGCAGCUAGUACAUGCAUUCCCAGCUUUUACUCACUCAAGGCUGUUGUGGGGAACAACUUUGAGAUCUCAAAUGUCUAUCCAAAGAUAGAGAUAGUUUAGUAUUUACUUUCCGUAAUUUCUUCCAAGUUAUUAUGUUUUGCAUCUACGUUUCUUGUAUAAUUUACUUUAAAGCCUGAUGAAUUCAUACUGUUUUCUGGAUGAUAUCUACUUGUAUGAAUCAAAUGAAGGAACAGAAUAUUGACUUGUUAGGUGAUCACAGUUACUUUGAACAAGUGCAUAUUGAUGUACUUUGCAAGCUUUGUUUUGAUGUGAGGGAAACAUUCAGGUUAGAUAACGGGGUUGCAUCAAUUGUAAGUGAAGUUUCUCUUAAGUCCUGAUCGUUUAGCUGGUUCUUUUUACUUCUGAUGAUUAUCUCUUGAGCAACUGGCUAGUUGUCAAACCAUCCAUUUUCUUACAACCUAGUAAUCUUCCAAUG
Molecule: RNA transcript, 1365 nt
Organism: Lycium barbarum (goji berry)
Lineage: Eukaryota; Viridiplantae; Streptophyta; Magnoliopsida; Solanales; Solanaceae
Gene name: F-box protein At3g07870-like
Exons: 2
Source: RefSeq, a predicted model, not a curated record